UACGUAGGGUGCGAGCGUUGUCCGGAAUUAUUGGGCGUAAAGAGCUCGUAGGCGGUCCGUCGCGUCGAAUGUGAAAACCCGGGGCUCAACCCCGGGCCUGCAUUCGAUACGGGCGGACUAGAGUUCGGUAGGGGAGACUGGAAUUCCUGGUGUAGCGGUGAAAUGCGCAGAUAUCAGGAGGAACACCGGUGGCGAAGGCGGGUCUCUGGGCCGAUACUGACGCUGAGGAGCGAAAGCGUGGGGAGCAAACAGG
RNAcentral lists this ribosomal RNA (253 nucleotides) under uncultured bacterium. RNAcentral describes it as "partial 16S ribosomal RNA". It matches the Rfam family "Bacterial small subunit ribosomal RNA", at positions 524 to 776 of the family's 1533-position model. The record is from RNAcentral.